UCUUUUCCUUUUGUGCCCGCCGCCGCGGUAAAACGUAGGUCACAAGCGUUGUCCGGAAUUACUGGGUGUAAAGGGAGCGUAGGCGGGAUCGCAAGUCAGAUGUGAAAACUAUGGGCUUAACCCAUAAACUGCAUUUGAAACUGUGGUUCUUGAGUGAAGUAGAGGUAAGCGGAAUUCCUAGUGUAGCGGUGAAAUGCGUAGAUAUUAGGAGGAACAUCAGUGGCGAAGGCGGCUUACUGGGCUUUAACUGACGCUGAGGCUCGAAAGCGUGGGGAGCAAACAGG
RNAcentral lists this ribosomal RNA (284 nucleotides) under Ruminococcus champanellensis 18P13 = JCM 17042. RNAcentral describes it as "partial 16S ribosomal RNA". It matches the Rfam family "Bacterial small subunit ribosomal RNA", at positions 493 to 776 of the family's 1533-position model. The record is from RNAcentral. Lineage: Bacteria; Bacillati; Bacillota; Clostridia; Eubacteriales; Oscillospiraceae.